RNAcentral lists this ribosomal RNA (1280 nucleotides) under uncultured Ralstonia sp. RNAcentral's name for it is "bacterial SSU rRNA". It matches the Rfam family "Bacterial small subunit ribosomal RNA", at positions 57 to 1334 of the family's 1533-position model. Lineage: Bacteria; Pseudomonadati; Pseudomonadota; Betaproteobacteria; Burkholderiales; Burkholderiaceae. The record is from RNAcentral.
GCAGUCGAAGGCAGCAUGAUCUAGCUUGCUAGAUUGAUGGCGAGUGGCGAACGGGUGAGUAAUACAUCGGAACGUGCCCUGUAGUGGGGGAUAACUAGUCGAAAGAUUAGCUAAUACCGCAUACGACCUGAGGGUGAAAGUGGGGGACCGCAAGGCCUCAUGCUAUAGGAGCGGCCGAUGUCUGAUUAGCUAGUUGGUGAGGUAAAGGCUCACCAAGGCGACGAUCAGUAGCUGGUCUGAGAGGACGAUCAGCCACACUGGGACUGAGACACGGCCCAGACUCCUACAGGAGGCAGCAGUGGGNANUUUNNGACAAUGGGGGCAACCCUGAUCCAGCAAUGCCGCGUGUGUGANNAAGGCCUUCGGGUUGUAAAGCACUUUUGUCCGGAAAGAAAUCGCACUUACUAAUAUUAGGUGUGGAUGACGGUACCGGAAGAAUAAGGACCGGCUAACUACGUGCCAGCAGCCGCGGUAAUACGUAGGGUCCAAGCGUUAAUCGGAAUUACUGGGCGUAAAGCGUGCGCAGGCGGUUGUGCAAGACCGAUGUGAAAUCCCCGGGCUUAACCUGGGAAUUGCAUUGGUGACUGCACGGCUAGAGUGUGUCAGAGGGGGGUAGAAUUCCACGUGUAGCAGUGAAAUGCGUAGAGAUGUGGAGGAAUACCGAUGGCGAAGGCAGCCCCCUGGGAUAACACUGACGCUCAUGCACGAAAGCGUGGGGAGCAAACAGGAUUAGAUACCCUGGUAGUCCACGCCCUANACGAUGUCAACUAGUUGUUGGGGAUUCAUUUCCUUAGUAACGUAGCUAACGCGUGAAGUUGACCGCCUGGGGAGUACGGUCGCAAGAUUAAAACUCAAAGGAAUUGACGGGGACCCGCACAAGCGGUGGAUGAUGUGGAUUAAUUCGAUGCAACGCGAAAAACCUUACCUACCCUUGACAUGCCACUAACGAGGCAGAGAUGCAUUAGGUGCUCGAAAGAGAAAGUGGACACAGGUGCUGCAUGGCUGUCGUCAGCUCGUGUCGUGAGAUGUUGGGUUAAGUCCCGCAACGAGCGCAACCCUUGUCUCUAGUUGCUACGAAAGGGCACUCUAGAGAGACUGCCGGUGACAAACCGGAGGAAGGUGGGGAUGACGUCAAGUCCUCAUGGCCCUUAUGGGUAGGGCUUCACACGUCAUACAAUGGUGCAUACAGAGGGUUGCCAAGCCGCGAGGUGGAGCUAAUCCCAGAAAAUGCAUCGUAGUCCGGAUCGUAGUCUGUAACUCGACUACGGAAGCUGGAAUCG